CUGCAGCCUGCCUUGGCCACUUUCAGCCUGGUGGGCCUGGGCAGUCAAUUCUCCUAGAAGCAACUGAAUCUCCUCACUUGUCUGAGGGGGACAUCAGGUAGCGGGGCUCCAUGGACCCCAGAGCAUCUGGCCUGAUGGGUACUGGUCACUCCUGGGAUGUCAGGGAUUCCUUUCAUUCUUAUUAUAGCUGGGAGGUCCUUCCUGUGUCUGACUCUGGUUUCUGGGGAUGCACCAAACAUCCAGGUCCCUCUGGAGCAUUGAACACCUUGCCCUCCUCUGGCCUGUCCUUCUCCCAGCUACUUUCCUUGUUUGACAUGAUGAUGAGACUUGGGAACUGACUGUGGGUUGCAAAAGGUGUAAGAAUCUCCAGGAACAGAGAGUUGGCACCAAACCUGGAAGACAAGAGUGCUUAGCUCUCUCUUGUGAGAAUCCCUGGGUAGAAUCCUGUUCCUAUCUGUCUGAUGGUCCUUUCCAUGUUCUCAUACCCACCCUUCCAGAACCCCCAGGUGGGAGAACUUUCAUUCUUGUAUUUGCCCUUUUUUUCUGCUUUAAUCCAAGUUUAUCACAGAGGGACUUGAUGGUAAUGCAGAGGAGGCUCCAAAACCCAUCCAAUAAGGAAGGCAGCCUUUUCCCUAAGUGAGGACAAAGAGGAGCCCUGGUCAAAAAGUCUCAGUUCCCAUGUUGCUGUCUUCCCACAAGGCCAUUUCCACCCAGUUUAAGCCUCCCCUGAACCACAGAACUGCUUCAAGACAAGAGCACAAAAGCUGCCACCCAUCCCUGUGGCUGGCACCUUCUACCCUCCCUGGCCUUAGCACUCAUCUUAGCCCCAGGGCAUCUCUGGUCUUCUCUUCUAUCAUCCCUUUUUAAUGUCCAAAGGUCAGGACAUUAAAGCAGUCUUUGGAAACUCAAGGUGCCCAGGUCAGGGUUCUAAGAGAGGAGAUGGAGCCAAAGACCUUGGAUCUUGGCUGAAGCCCAGUCCUUUCAAGGGAACCAGAGGCCACCACCCUGGGUUUGUUUGUUCCAGACCCAAACUCUUAUAGUUGCCUAUGAACCCCAUGUGGGCCUAACCAAAACCCCAGCUCCGUGUGUGUGUGUGUGUGUGUGUGUGUGUGUGUAUGUGUGUACCUUUUGCCACCUUAAUAGUCAUAUGUUGGCUUGAACAUUUAGCCUUACUUAUGCGUGGAGGGGUGCCAUAGCAUGUGUACCUGUGUAUAACAGUGCUGAUAUGAAAUUUGCCAGAGAGCAAGUGUGUCGAUGUGGGCUUGGGUUGGGUGUGUAACUGUGCACAUACUUACGAGCCUAUUGUAUGAAUGUGAUUGUAACUUUGAAAACUGCUAGGAGCACACAUCAGCAUUUGUUCUUGGUAACUGUGGGAUGCGUGUUUAAAUGACACACGUGUGCACCAGUGGACAUAUAUAUGAUUACAAAUAAUUGUGUCUGAAUCAUACAUUAUGCCCCUGGGUUGCUUUGGGUUCAUAACUGCAUACAAGCAAGAAUCCAUGCAAAGUUGUGCAUGAGAUUUAACCAGCUUGUGUGCAUUAACCAUUGACCAUUGUGUGUGUGUGUGUGUGUGUGCAUGCGCGUGUGGGUGAUUUUUGACAUGGGGCAGGUGUUGCUGCAGAAAUGUGUGUGUUUAGGCCCACGACUGGAGACAACAAUUAUGUGUUGACAAACUCCAGCCACCCCUUAAGCCACGUCCAGCAAGAAGGAAAUGUGUAAAUGUGUUUGUGAAACUCAAAACAGAACAGGGACAAAAUGCCAGGCCCUGCCAUGGCAGCCGCAAAUUGAGGACGGGUUUUUUUUUUUUUCUCUGUCUCCAUCUCUCCCUCUCUCCAGCAUCUCGGCCCCUCUCUGGCGUCGUUCCUCACACCUAAGCCCAAUGGUGUUUUGCAGUCUUUCAGCUGUUACCUCAGUCCCUCCUCGCCUCAUUCCCGAUUCACUCCGUUGCUAUAGGUAUGUUUGAAACCCCAGCGUGGUAGAUUUUAAUUAGUCUUCCUACAGAUGGCCAAUUAACAUUCAUUACUUUUGCCUUGAGCGAUUAAUUAUGAGUUUGGAUAGAAAAGGAGAGAAGAGGAGAGGAAGAUGGGCAGGUGAAUGAAAGGAGAAAAGAGAAGGGGGUUUGAUUGGGAGUUUGGAAUUUUUACACAGAGCAGGCUGGUGGGGGAGAGGGUGGGAAAGAGCUG
RNAcentral lists this long non-coding RNA (2183 nucleotides) under Marmota monax (woodchuck). The record is from RNAcentral. Lineage: Eukaryota; Metazoa; Chordata; Mammalia; Rodentia; Sciuridae.